This 69-nucleotide transfer RNA is filed under the name Parmaturus melanobranchus. RNAcentral's name for it is "tRNA-Trp". It matches the Rfam family "tRNA". From Rfam's summary of the family: Transfer RNA (tRNA) molecules are approximately 80 nucleotides in length. The record is from RNAcentral. Lineage: Eukaryota; Metazoa; Chordata; Chondrichthyes; Carcharhiniformes; Scyliorhinidae.
AGAAAUUUAGGUUAACAAAACCAAAAGCCUUCAAAGCUUUUAAUAGAAGUGAAAAUCCUCUAACUUCUG